Dermochelys coriacea (leatherback sea turtle) is the source of this 146-nucleotide long non-coding RNA. RefSeq lists it as uncharacterized. NCBI's taxonomy places the organism in Eukaryota, Metazoa, Chordata, Testudines, Dermochelyidae. The record is from RefSeq and is a predicted model, not a curated record. The transcript has 4 exons.
GGGCCUUUCCAGCAUGGGGCCAGAGUAGUUUUUCAUUGAUGGACCUUUAUGUAGACCCAGUCACCUGGUUUUAACAAAUGGCAUGUUUGCUCAGGAUCCUUGGAGCAGGACUUCUUUCACCUCAGCGACUGCUCCACUGCUAACUG